Molecule: ribosomal RNA, 491 nt
Filed under: uncultured bacterium
Lineage: Bacteria
Description: partial 16S ribosomal RNA
Rfam family: Bacterial small subunit ribosomal RNA
Source: RNAcentral
AGUGAACGCUGGCGGUAGGCCUAACACAUGCAAGUCGAACGGCAGCACAGUAAGAGCUUGCUCUUACGGGUGGCGAGUGGCGGACGGGUGAGGAAUACAUCGGAAUCUACUUUUUCGUGGGGGAUAACGUAGGGAAACUUACGCUAAUACCGCAUACGACCUACGGGUGAAAGCAGGGGAUCUUCGGACCUUGCGCGAUUGAAUGAGCCGAUGUCGGAUUAGCUAGUUGGCGGGGUAAAGGCCCACCAAGGCGACGAUCCGUAGCUGGUCUGAGAGGAUGAUCAGCCACACUGGAACUGAGACACGGUCCAGACGCCUACGGGAGGCAGCAGUGGGGAAUAUGGGACAAGGGGCGCAAGCCUGAUCCAGCCAUACCGCGGGGGUGAAGAAGGCCUUCGGGUUGUAAAGCCCUUUUGUUGGGAAAGAAAAGCAGCAGGUUAAUACCCCGCUGUUCUGACGGUACCCAAAGAAUAAGCACCGGCUAACUUCGU